Molecule: ribosomal RNA, 305 nt
Filed under: uncultured eukaryote
Lineage: Eukaryota
Description: SSU rRNA
Rfam family: Eukaryotic small subunit ribosomal RNA
Source: RNAcentral
AGCUCCAAUAGCGUAUAUUAAAGUUGUUGCGGUUAAAAAGCUCGUAGUUGGAUAUCUGACCUUUUGCACGGACAGCCCGCCCCCGUGGUUGAGUGCUGGAGUGCGGGUCUAUUUUUCGGUUGAUGGCAAUUGAGUUAACCCUCAGUUGUGGUUAUCCGGAUCGUUUACUUUGAAAAAUUGGAGUGUUCAAAGCAGGCUUACGCCGUGAACAGUUUAGCAUGGAAUAAUACUAUAGGACAGUCGCGUCUUAUUUUGUUGGUUCUAAGGCCGUUGUAAUGAUUGAUAGGGACAGUUGGGGGUGCUGC